AGAGUUUGAUCCUGGCUCAGGACGAACGCUGGCGGCGUGCUUAACACAUGCAAGUCGAACGGGAUCCGGACUUCGGUUCGGUGAGAGUGGCGAACGGGUGAGUAACGCGUAGGCAAUCUGCCCCUCGGUGGGGGAUAGCCCCGGGAAACCGGGAUUAAUACCGCAUGACGCGUCGGGAUCGCAUGGUUCUGACGUUAAAGAUUUAUCGCCGAGGGAUGAGCCUGCGUUGCAUUAGCUAGUUGGUGGGGUAACGGCUCACCAAGGCGACGAUGCAUAGCUGGUCUGAGAGGAUGAUCAGCCACACUGGGACUGAGAUACGGCCCAGACUCCUACGGGAGGCAGCAGUGAGGAAUAUUGGACAAUGGGCGCAAGCCUGAUCCAGCAACGCCGCGUGAACGAUGAAGCUGCUCUGCAGUGUAAAGUUCUGUAAGGAGGGACGAAGACCGGGGUAUGGCCCCGGGGGGACGGUACCUCUUAAGUAAGCACCGGCUAACUCCGUGCCAGCAGCCGCGGUAAUACGGGGGGUGCAAGCGUUGUCCGGAUUUAUUGGGCGUAAAGGGCUCGUAGGCGGGAGGGUAAGUCUGGCGUGAAAUCUCUCGGCUCAACCGGGAAGCUGCGCUGGAAACUGCCGUUCUUGAGUUGCGGAGAGGAAGUUGGAAUUCCUGGUGUAGCGGUGGAAUGCGUAGAGAUGUGGAGGAAUACCAGUGGCGAAGGCGGCCACCUGGACGGUAACUGACGCUGAGGCGCGAAAGUGUGGGUAGCAAACAGGAUUAGAUACCCUGGUAGUCC
This 789-nucleotide ribosomal RNA is filed under the name uncultured bacterium. RNAcentral describes it as "bacterial SSU rRNA". It matches the Rfam family "Bacterial small subunit ribosomal RNA", at positions 8 to 796 of the family's 1533-position model. The record is from RNAcentral.